UACGUAGGAGGCGAGCGUUAUCCGGCUUCACUGGGCGUAAAGAGUGUGUAGGCGGUGCUCCAAGUCUGUCGUGAAAUCUCCCGGCUCAACUGGGAGGGUGCGGCGGAAACUAGAGUGCUCGAGUGUGGGAGAGGUAAGCGGAAUUCCUGGUGGAGCGGUGAAAUGCGUAGAUAUCAGGAGGAACACCUGCGGUGUAGACAGCUUACUGGACCACGACUGACGCUGAGACACGAAAGCGUGGGGAGCAAACAGG
Molecule: ribosomal RNA, 253 nt
Filed under: uncultured bacterium
Lineage: Bacteria
Description: partial 16S ribosomal RNA
Rfam family: Bacterial small subunit ribosomal RNA
Source: RNAcentral